Molecule: ribosomal RNA, 490 nt
Filed under: uncultured bacterium
Lineage: Bacteria
Description: bacterial SSU rRNA
Rfam family: Bacterial small subunit ribosomal RNA
Source: RNAcentral
GAUGAACGCUAGCUACAGGCUUAACACAUGCAAGUCGCGGGGCAGCAUGAAUUUAGCUUGCUAAAUUUGAUGGCGACCGGCGCACGGGUGAGUAACGCGUAUCCAACCUUCCCCUGUCCACGGGAUAGCCCGUCGAAAGGCGGAUUAAUACCGUAUGAGGUCACAUGCGGGCAUCUAAUUGUGACGAAAGGUUUAGCGGACAUGGAUGGGGAUGCGUCCGAUUAGCUAGUUGGCGGGGUAACGGCCCACCAAGGCGACGAUCAGUAGGGGUUCUGAGAGGAAGGUCCCCCACAUUGGAACUGAGACACGGUCCAAACUCCUACGGGAGGCAGCAGUGAGGAAUAUUGGUCAAUGGACGUAAGUCUGAACCAGCCAAGUAGCGUGCAGGAUGACGGCCCUAUGGGUUGUAAACUGCUUUUAUGCGGGGAUAAAGUGUGGGACGUGUCCCAUAUUGUAGGUACCGCAUGAAUAAGGACCGGCUAAUUCCGUG